AUCGCCAUGGCGACUGGUCCAAGCUGUUGGAGGCAGCGUUUCUGAGCGGGAGCGGCCGCUGCUGUUCGCUGCCCGAGCCCCGGUGCCUGAAUGGGAGCGACAGCUCGAGACAACAAGAUUCUGGCUGGUUAUAGGAGGCUCAGUAGUCUUUGUCCUGUUAGAACAACCAGCUAUCUGACCAUGACAUUUCCGUUUGAUGAAGACAUUCAAGAUGUUCAGGAUCAACCAUACACUGGAAGAUGGAGGAAAAUCUUUCACUAACAAGUGAGCAUAAUAACAUCAACAUUAACUGCUUUUGCUUGUUUGUUUUAUUCUCCUUUUAAACAGCACUUUGAAUUACUCUGUUGCUGAAAAUGUGCUACACAAAUAAACUGCCUUGGCUUCCCUUUUGUCUUAUUAUAAAUCCAAAAAGCCUGGUUUGCACUCAUUAAAAAAAACAUUUUUGUCUGAUUUAUAAAUAGUGAAGGAACUUAUUUGGAUCAGACCUUUAUAAUGCAGCAUAGGAAGCACAUAAAUACUGCAUAAGUCAUGCUAAAAAAUGAGAACCAGUCACACAUUUUCUUCUAUAACAAGCCUAAGGGUUCUCUGUUCUGCAAAUGAUCUGCUUUCUGGUAAGCAUCAGUACAUUUUUGUGUGGUUUUAUUUAACCAGCUGUAGAAAUAAAUAUAUUCUAAUUUCAACUAAAUGUACAUAUGUAAGAAGCUGAAGUCACAUUACAGCUGAAAACAUCUGAACCCAAAUGGAGGUGACUGUGUCACCAUUUGGUCUCAAUGAAGAAGGAAAAGAUAAGUAGUUAAAAAAUCUAAACUUGACUUUUUCACAAUUAAAUUUAUAUAUACAAAAUAAUAUGCACAGAAGACAUUUUUGUCAAGCUUUAUGUAUACAAUCACAUGUUAUUACUUAGAUUUAAUCCACUACAGCCCCAUGAAGAGGUCUAAAGCAGAAUUAAGUUAGAAAAAAUCAUUAAUCAAUAUGUUGCAAAGACUUUAAUGAAAAACUUAGUCCAUAUCAAGUAACAAAAUUAUCAUCUAGUCUGCCUGACUAAUAAAGACAGAUAUGCAAGGCAAGUUUUCAUCAGAUAUUUGUUGUCUCCCUUCUCUCUGGCUCCAGAUAGCAUUGCUUUACCACAAGAUGGCAUUGUUGUCAUAAUUAUGCUUAAUUUGUCAUGAUCAUUGUAAAUGAUUGAGAAGUAAUCCAAACAAGAUUGCCAUUCUCAAAUGCAUUUAUUUAUUCAUCAUAUGUCAAAAAAGAAAAACAAAAUACUCAGAGUACCAACACCUUAAAAAUAAAGACAAGGUUUCAGAUUGAAAAAACUGAAACAAACAGUAGCCCUUUUAAUUCUGAAACACACACACACACAAACUGAUGGGAACUCAUGCUACACACAGUUGCUUUCUCAUUACUCUGCUACAUAUUUCUCUCAGUUUUUUGUACUACUACAAAAAAUGCAACCAUCUGGCCCCACUGAAGGAUUAGCACUACAUUUGGAGGAAAUCAUGAGCUUGUGCUCUCACAUGCCUUUGAAAAAUGAUAACAUUCAUACACUCAGCUGCUCACUGUGGAGCCAGGAAACCAUGUAGUACAAAAAAAUAAUUAAACACAAGAUCACAUUUUCACAUCAGUGCAAUUAAACCCUGACCUGUUGGAUUUUACCAACAAUAGCAUGCAAGAUGAUCCCUCUGGAGCUUUUCUUAUAUACAAAUUGGUCGGAUGUGUUCUCAAAGUACCUACCUUGAUCUAGUCAAAAGAAAUAAGAGUUGCUCACAACAUUGCCUUUUUGACGCUAUUCCAAUAGUGAUGUUAAAGCUUUAGUAAUGAUCCAUUUGCAUCCUGGAUGGUACAUGUAGAAGCCACUGAGCUGUGUUUAUGCACUUUUAUAGGAUGGAAGAGUGCAUUGCACACGGAUUACAGCGACUGCAAGAGGCAUUUUCAAUAUGAUAUAUUGGUGUGUAGUCGGUUGAGGGCAUCGCUGCAGGGGUUUAUUGCUCCAUUCAUAUCCAAAGCAUCAGCAUCUGUUUCCCUAUCUUGCUGUGUUUGUCCUUUACCUGCCUGAAAGUCAGUUAUCAAACCGCCUCCCUUUGCCUUGGCUUGCCCUCUCCUUCACACAUAGAUACCUGCAUACACUUAACACCUACCAUCAUGGGGAUGCCAACGUCCACUGAGGUCCAGAAUUUUGGUCCCCACAAAUCUGUCAGGGCCCACAAUUAAAGUACAUUAAGCACACACACAUACACAAUGCUAGCACAAGUUCUUAUUUUAUGCUCCUGCAUGUCCCUAUGUCCCUAGUUUCAACAUACUCUGCAGAAACAGAGUCUGAGUGAGGGCAGACAGUAGUGUAAAGCCGCACAGUUUGUCAUAAUAAGGGACUGCAGUAUUUUCAGCUGCAAGACAACCUUAAAACACCCUUGGUGGGGACGAACAACCUUUACCCUAAUCUGUAGCAGAGUCAGGGAAAGAAUGUCUAUUGCAGGCUAAUUCAUCAGACCUAAAAUAAAAUACCAUCUAAUCAUAUCUAUGUACAUUUUAAGAAAACCUUUCUAGAAGAUUUAAUUUACUGCAGCAAUUCAAUUAAAGCAGUGGAAUUUGUACAUUACAUAGAUUCACUACAUUCCGUAUGAUAUAUUUCAAGCAUUUAGUUUGGUCAAUUUGGAUGAUUAUAGUUUACAUCAAAUAGAAAUCGAAACUUUUGCUUCUCAAAAAAUGAGUUAAACUAAACAGCAAUAAAAAUGUAUUUUCUAAUACAGAAAUGUUUUGGUGUGGUCAUGAUUGUUGUUCAACAAACAGUAACUGGAAAGUAAGUCGUAAAGGUUGGCUGUUCGUAGAACGCUGCACCCAAGCAUUUAAUGGAAAGUUGAGUGUAAAGAAAAAGCGUGUCUGAGAACGGUGCACAAGCCAAAGAAAUAUCUUUCAGCUGUUGAGAAUAAGUAAUUCUGUGUUUUUCUUUUGUCUCUUUUAACUAGCUGCAAAGCUAAGGCUAAAGGAGUUAGGAAACGCCUUCAAAGUUAAGGGAAGAGGAUAUGACACACUAGGGAACGCCCUCUUUAGGGCGUAGCUUAGACGGAGGCUAACAAAGGAAGUUACCAACUGUUACUUGUUGCCAUUAUGUCCUGCUAAUUCCUAAAGGUAGCAUGAAAAAUGGACCAGCUAUAUUUUGGUAUUAAUAAAUGGAAUUCAUGA
Molecule: long non-coding RNA, 3177 nt
Organism: Xiphophorus couchianus (Monterrey platyfish)
Lineage: Eukaryota; Metazoa; Chordata; Actinopteri; Cyprinodontiformes; Poeciliidae
Exons: 2
Source: RefSeq, a predicted model, not a curated record